CGCGGGCGGGAGGUGCUGGGGACGGGGUCGGUGAGGGGUGGAUGGAGGCUUUGCUGAGGCCAGUCAGGCUGCUUCUACAAUCCGCACACUCUUUGCUUAUGGAGGACUCUUUGAGUAUGGGUAACCCCUUAAUCCCUCAGUUAGUGUCCUCCAUGUGCAGCCUGGGAGUGUGAGGGCUGCCCUAAGGAUAGGGGGCUCUGCUUCCUUAAGCUUUGCUAUGGUUUAAGCUGGGUGUAAGCCUAUAGCACCAAAGACCCGGUGGAUUUUUUUGUGGUAUAAAGGGGCAGGCGCCAUGCCCUUUUUCAAGGGCUUUGAUCUCCCUUGUUUUAGUGGUGGCCCUCUGUCCCUGUGUGCUUUCCUGAGGCGCUGCCCGUGUCGCUGUCCCAGCCCUGCGCCCAGGAUUCAGCCUCUGCCGCCCGCUGACAUGAGGGGAGGCAGGAGCCGGCGUGCCCUGCUCCAGACACAGCCCUCUUGGGGUUCCCAGGGACAUUCCCUGCUCUUGUGCAGCUCCUGCCUCUUUCUCUGUCCGUGUCUGGUUGCCUCCAUGCCCAGCCAGACGAACCAAAGGGCUGUCAUACGUGGUACAGCUGAAAACCCAUCCUCAUGGCAAUGGUGCCAAGGCAAACCGAAGUGGGAACGCCCAUGCUGGAGUUCUGGAGCUGCAGGCAGAAUGUCUGGUACUUGUGUUUGUUUCAGGGUAGAUGUUGUGUGCGAUGAAUCUGCUGCACUACAGGGUAUUGCUGCAUUUGGAACCACAACCUCGUGGCCUUCCUGAGACCUGAUUUUAUGACAACGGGGUGGCCCACGGGAACUCAUCCAACAACAUAUUAGCAGAUAAAGGGAAACUGUUUUUCUCUGUGUUUUUGUUGUGCUCUGUUUUGUAGCUGAGACCAUUUACCCUGUCUUGUGCUGGGAGUUAGUGCUGUUACAGGAAUGCUUCUCUAUGUUGUCCCUCAAUUUGCCAUUUAAAUAGAGGGCUAUUUUCCAUUUAUUCAUGCCCUGUAGAUCUAGUUGUGUUUAUCAGUAAUUUGUGACAUUCCACCAGGUAUUAUAGGGAAAACAAAUGUUAGUAUCUGAUGCUGUACAUCUGAAAAGUGUCUAAUGCAUCUAAACUGCUGAGGUCUCUAUGUUAGUGUUGCAAGCUUCAAGGAAAGAAAGGUGGGAAAACAUAAAAGGAAAUAAUAGCUGAAAGCAACUCAUUUUUAAGUGAAAAAGAUAAGAGAAAUUUCUCUGGAUAAGGAGGAGGGGAGGGUUUGUGGAAAGUGAUUCUCUUGUUAAACACAGAUGCGAACUUCUUUAGUAACAAACCCUUGGUAUUUAGGAAAACAUUAGGAGCCAUCACUUCUCCAGGUGUAUUCACUACUGAGUCAAGAAAGAAAAAAGAAACUUUAGAGAAAACAGUAGUUAGAAAAGCAAUUGUCUAUUUGUUUUCUUUUCUCUGUUUUUAGGCAUUACUAGUUCAAGGAAUUUCUUAUAAAGCAGUGAUAGAACUGAACACUUUCAAACAUGGUUUGAUGUGUUAAAUUUUUCAAAAAUUUGAUGUCAUGCCAGGCAUAUUAUAAAACUGUACCAUUAAAUUUUUUGUUAAAAACUAGAAAUACAUUCAACCCUAGUGUUAAUUUAAAAAAAAAAAAUGGGCUUUGUUUUGUCAAAUUAAUAUUGCAUUUCCUUCCCUAAUUCACUGUAGGUAAAAAUUAUAGUUUAGGCACUAAAUGGAUUCAAGAAAUAACUUGUGUUCAUUUUGUUAAAGAUGUACAUCACUGUGGAGCAAGUAGGAAGAGGGUGGGAUGGAAAAUACUGUUUUAUGUUGACUUACUUAAUCUGAAGAAAAGUCUACAUUUAAUUAAACUUCCCAGCACACUUUCUUUUUUCCUCCCAAAGGAGUUGCUUAAAUAUGGUUGGAUCAGGUACACUCAUACUUUGCCAUGAUGCAGCAGACAAGUCUCAGCUACUCUUUAAGAGGAUACAGAAUUGUACAGUAAUUAGAGCACGUGGAUCAGUUUAUAGAACUCUUCUUAAAUGUCUGUCUGAAAAGUUAAUGUUGAUGACCUGCUCUCCCUUUUUAUACAGGAAGAAAAAAAAAAAAAGAAAUAAAACAAGGGAAAUUUGGUUUUAUAUUAUAGAACUUGCAUUGAAUUGAGGUGCUGUUUGCAAAAGUCCCAGAGAGAUCCAGAAAGACAAGGUUAUGAGAGCUGUUUCCAGUGGGCAAGCACAAACUCUAUUUAAACCCUGUUGCACCUGUUGGAAAACGUGUUUUCUUAUUCAAUAAAAAUUAACAAGUUGAAUGAGAAUUGCUAAUACUUAACCAGAGGGUAAAAUGUUCUCCCUUUGUACUGGCAGUGACACUGUAGUGGUGAAGUCCCUGGGCAGGAGUGAAGGAGCCAAAAGAAGAGGUGAAUGGUUCAUGGGGAAUCUGCCCUCUUACUGUAUCUUGCUCCCUGCCAUGACAAUAUGGAAUGAAGUUGCUUGCAGGUGUGGUGUGCUGCAGGUGGAAUAUCAAAGCAGCCUUGAGGCUGAACUGGCUGAGAUGUGAAGCCCAAUGGGAAGUCCCAAUUGUUAUGUGGAAGGGAAAGUUAAAACAUUCUUCAGUGAGAAUUAAUGCUUCGGUCAUAUUCUCCAGAGCUUUGCAAGGAGGAACACCUUAAGAUAAGGAGAGACAGCUUCCUAUGACAGCAGGAAAGUUUGACUCUGCUGUCAUUUAAAAUACCGUUUCAAAGGUCGUGUUUGUGUUUUAAAUGAAAUGUGAAGCUGAACUUUAUGCUCUGCCAGAUAACAGUAGUAGUGAUGCAAGUGCUUCCUUUGAAUUCUGCAGGGAGGUGACCUGAGGCACUCUCCAAUUUUGUUAGCAAUUUCCUUGGGCUCAGACUGUGUUACAGAGAGACUGCUCAAGAAACAGCACCCACCUACUCCCAAGGUUUUCCCUCAGAAGUGGCACAUGGGCUCUACCUCUCCUGUCCUGCUUGUGCACCUUCUGCCCUACGUGACCAAGAUCCUGCUCUGCACCCCUGGGAGGGUAAGUGGGGAAGAUGGUGCAUGGCUUUUCCAGAUCUCUAUAAGAAAACCCCAA
Oenanthe melanoleuca is the source of this 3067-nucleotide long non-coding RNA. RefSeq lists it as uncharacterized. The record is from RefSeq and is a predicted model, not a curated record. NCBI's taxonomy places the organism in Eukaryota, Metazoa, Chordata, Aves, Passeriformes, Muscicapidae. The transcript has 5 exons.